CCGUCCUUCCUGUGUUCAAUUUGAAAUAUAUCUAACAUUUUCUAAUAAUCUAUAAUUUCUAAUAGGAAAAUAAGUAAAAAAAUCAACCACGAAAUGAUGUCAAUGUAAGGACUGAUAACCACAAUUCACUCCCCGACUCUUUGCAAUCAGUUUUAUAAACAUCAGGAACCCGAAAGAACAGCUAAAAUGAAAGAAAUAACAA
Molecule: long non-coding RNA, 202 nt
Organism: Nicrophorus vespilloides
Lineage: Eukaryota; Metazoa; Arthropoda; Insecta; Coleoptera; Silphidae
Exons: 3
Source: RefSeq, a predicted model, not a curated record